This 466-nucleotide ribosomal RNA is filed under the name uncultured bacterium. Its description in RNAcentral is "partial 16S ribosomal RNA". It matches the Rfam family "Bacterial small subunit ribosomal RNA", at positions 28 to 507 of the family's 1533-position model. The record is from RNAcentral.
GACGAACGCUGGCGGUGUGCUUAACACAUGCAAGUCGAACGGUAAGGCCCUUUCGGGGGUACACGAGUGGCGAACGGGGGAGUAACACGUGAGUAACCUGCCCUCAUCUCUGGGAUAACAGUCGGAAACGGUUGCUAAUACUGGAUAUGAGAUUGCAAGGCAUAUUGUGGGUUGGAAAGAUUUUUUUGGUUGGGGAUGGACUCGCGGCCUAUCAGCUUGUUGGUGAGGUAGUGGCUCACCAAGGCUUCGACGGGUAGCCGGCCUGAGAGGGCGACCGGCCACAUUGGGACUGAGAUACGGCCCAAACUCCUACGGGAGGCAGCAGUGGGGAAUAUUGCACAAUGGACGGAAGUCUGAUGCAGCAACGCCGCGUGCGGGAUGACGGCCUUCGGGUUGUAAACCGCUUUCAAUUGUGACGAAGCUUUUUGUGACGGUAGCAGUAGAAGAAGCACCGGCUAACUACGUG